AGAGGCUGCCGUUGGCCCUUUGCUUUGGGCUGUGACGGAAAGCCGUAAAAAGGCGGGUGGGAUAUUAGCGGCCCGGGACAUUUUGCCGCCUGAGGCGAACCACAAAAUGGCGCCCCCUCUCCCUCCCCCCGGCAGGGGAGAAGCGGAGUGAUGUGCCAUAGCAGGAACAAGGAAUAAAGAUACUGUAUACAUCUUGUCUCUAUGUGGGACAAGAAGCUACAGUUAGAACUGGAUAUGGAACAACUGAUUGGUUCAAAAUUGGGAAAGGAGUAGGACAAGGCUGUAUAUUGUCUCCCUGCUUAUUUAACUUAUAUGCAGAAUUCAUCAUGCGAAAGGCUGGGCUGGAUGAAUCCCAUGCCGGAAUUAAGAUUGCCGGAAGAAAUAUCAACAACCUCAGAUAUGCAGAUGACACAACCUUGAUGGCAGAAAGUGAGGAGGAAUUAAAGAAUAUUUUAAUGAGGGUGAAAGAGGAGAGCGCAAAAUAUGGUCUGAAGCUCAACAUCAAAAAAACAAAGAUCAUGGCCACUGGUCCCAUCACCUCCUGGCAAAUAGAAGGGGAAGAAAUGGAGGCAGUGAGAGAUUUUACUUUCUUGGGCUCCAUGAUCACUGCAGAUGGUGACAGCAGCCACAAAAUUAAAAGACACCUGCUUCUUGGAAGGAAAGCAAUGACAAACCUAGACAGCAUCUUAAAAAGCAGAGACAUCACCUUGCCAACAAAGGUCCCUAUAGUUAAAGCCAUGGUUUUCCCAGGAGUGAUGUAUGGAAGUGAGAGCUGGACCAUAAAGGCUGAUUGCCGAAGAAUUGAUGCUUUUGAAUUAUGGUGCUGGAGGAGACUCUUGAGAGUCCCAUGGGCUGCAAGAAGAUCAAACCUCUCCAUUCUUAAGGAAAUCAGCCCUGAAUUCUCACUGGAAGGACAAAUCCUGAAGCUGAGGCUCUAAUACUUUGGCCACCUCAUGAGAAGAGAAGACUCCCUGGAAAAGACCCUGAUGUUGGCAAAGAGAAGGGGACGACAGAGGACGAGGUGGUUGGACAGUGUUCUUGAAGCUACCAGCAUGAGUUUGACCAAACUGCGGGAGGCAGUGGAAGACAGGAGUGCCUGACGUGCUCUGGUCCAGGGGGUCACGAAGAGUCGGACCAAACAACAAUACAUCAGGAACAAGAUCUACAUUGGGAUCGGCUGCUCCUGUGGAUUCUGCAGCCCGACGCAGUUGCCUCACCUUGCCUCCUAUGUGGGCCGGCCCUGGCUGGCUUACUUCAUGGCUCCUCCAGCUGCAUUUGUGGCGCCACGGGUUAGAUGCUGGAAAUGUGCCCAUCGCCCUCCUUGAGAAUGCCACCUGGCUUGGUAGAUCUGCAAGGACUGCAGUGGCAGCCGGUUGAGCUCACCGUGUGGUCCUGUUCCACGUCUGCUCAGCAGUGAUGCCCCACUGAGCACAAGCUCCUUGGAAAGUGGGUGCUGGGCCAUCCAGCCUGUUCCAAAUCGGUUCUUCAACUCUGCCCAGGCUCUUAUGUAAGGGGCCUUUUUUUAAAAUCAUUUUUUCAAUGCAAACAACCACCGCAAAAGACACAUACAACAAAAACCAUAACACUAAUAACACAAUUUUACAAUUCAGAUUUGAAUACUGCUAUACCUAUGACUACACCUUUCUAACAACAUUUCCCCACCUCUCCUCCCCCUACUUCCCACUACUGUCCGCCUUUUCGCUUAAAUAUUCCUUCCAGAUUUCUUCAUAUUUUUCCAUUCUUAAUUUGCAUGGACGUGCAAUUCGUUCGUAUGUAGCUAGUCUGUCCAUAUUAUCAAUCCAUGUGCUCAAUGGAUUCUUUUUGCGGCUCUUCCAAUUCAUCAAAACUAUUUUUUUUGCUUCUAAUAUGGCACGGUACAUCCAUUUUUUUUUGACCCCUUGUAAUCUCCCACGUUUCCGGAAUAUAAUUUAG
Molecule: long non-coding RNA, 1932 nt
Filed under: Podarcis lilfordi (Lilford's wall lizard)
Lineage: Eukaryota; Metazoa; Chordata; Lepidosauria; Squamata; Lacertidae
Source: RNAcentral